Molecule: long non-coding RNA, 201 nt
Filed under: Musa acuminata (dwarf banana)
Lineage: Eukaryota; Viridiplantae; Streptophyta; Magnoliopsida; Zingiberales; Musaceae
Description: long non-coding RNA (MACU_LNC002599)
Source: RNAcentral
GAACUUAGAAACUCGUUCGUAAAAGCGCAAAAGGCAGUAGCUAUUUAGGAGGUUUGCAGUAAAGAUAAAAUGCUCAAAGUAAAUGCAAACCGAGAUUUAGAGUGGUUCGGUCAAUCUUGACCUACUCCACUUUUGGCUUCCUCCACCGACAAGGUCACCGACGUCAACUAGAGGCCUUCCUUCAAUAGGCGAAGGCCAACC